Molecule: ribosomal RNA, 301 nt
Filed under: uncultured bacterium
Lineage: Bacteria
Description: partial 16S ribosomal RNA
Rfam family: Bacterial small subunit ribosomal RNA
Source: RNAcentral
CAGCCGCCGCGGUAAGACAGAGGCCUCAAGCGUUGUUCGGAUUCAUUGGGCGUAAAGGGUGCGUAGGCGGUUCCGUAAGUCGGAUGUGAAAUCCUGGGGCUCAACCCCGGAACUGCAUUCGAUACUGCGGGGCUAGAGGACUGGAGAGGAGAGUGGAAUUCACGGUGUAGCAGUGAAAUGCGUAGAUAUCGUGAGGAAGACCAGCGGCGAAGGCGGCUCUCUGGACAGUUCCUGACGCUGAUGCACGAAGGCCAGGGGAGCAAACGGGAUUAGAUACCCCGGUAGUCCCUGUCUCUUAUAC